Molecule: ribosomal RNA, 253 nt
Filed under: uncultured bacterium
Lineage: Bacteria
Description: partial 16S ribosomal RNA
Rfam family: Bacterial small subunit ribosomal RNA
Source: RNAcentral
CACGUAGGGUGCGAGCGUUGUCCGGAAUUAUUGGGCGUAAAGAGCUCGUAGGCGGUUUGUUGCGUCGGCUGUGAAAUCCCGAGGCUCAACCUCGGGUCUGCAGUCGAUACGAGCAAACUAGAGUGUUGCAGGGGAGACUGGAAUUCCUGGUGUAGCGGUGAAAUGCGCAGAUAUCAGGAGGAACACCGGUGGCGAAGGCGGGUCUCUGGGCAACAACUGACGCUGAGGAGCGAAAGCGUGGGGAUCAAACAGG